Non-coding RNA from Pongo abelii (Sumatran orangutan), 85 nucleotides. The record is from Rfam. Lineage: Eukaryota; Metazoa; Chordata; Mammalia; Primates; Hominidae.
GCCUCACUUGUUCACUUCUUCCUGCUUUGCCCCUCGACUCUGCUCCACCAUUUGGGCAGGGCAGGCAGAAGUGGACAAGUGAGGA